RNAcentral lists this ribosomal RNA (253 nucleotides) under uncultured bacterium. RNAcentral describes it as "partial 16S ribosomal RNA". It matches the Rfam family "Bacterial small subunit ribosomal RNA", at positions 524 to 776 of the family's 1533-position model. The record is from RNAcentral.
UACGUAGGGUGCAGGCGUUAAUCGGAAUUACUGGGCGUAAAGCGUGCGCAGGCGGUUUCUUAAGUCAGAUGUGAAAGCCCCGGGCUUAACCUGGGAACUGCGUUUGAAACUGGGAGACUUGAGUGUGGCAGAGGGGGGUGGAAUUCCACGUGUAGCAGUGAAAUGCGUAGAUAUGUGGAGGAACACCAAUGGCGAAGGCAGCCCCCUGGGUCAACACUGACGCUCAUGCACGAAAGCGUGGGGAGCAGACAGG